Non-coding RNA from Schistosoma rodhaini, 45 nucleotides. The record is from Rfam. Lineage: Eukaryota; Metazoa; Platyhelminthes; Trematoda; Strigeidida; Schistosomatidae.
AUCUAGUUGACCAGUCCCGAAUAGGACGAAACGCGUGUCCUGGAU